UCCGAGUUGACCCCGGCAGUCUCCUAUGAGUCCCCGCCAUAACGCGCUGGCAACAUAGAACGAGGGUUGCGCUCGUUGCGGGACUUAACCCAACACCUCACGGCACGAGCUGACGACAGCCAUGCACCACCUGUGCACAGGCCCCGAAGGGCUGCCGUAUUUCUACGACAUUCCCGUGCAUGUCAAGCCUAGGUAAGGUUCUGCGCGUUGCGUCGAAUUAAACCACAUGCUCCACCGCUUGUGCGGGCCCCCGUCAAUUCCUUUGAGUUUCAUUCUUGCGAACGUACUCCCCAGGUGGCUAACUUAUCACUUUCGCUUAGUCUCUGAAUCUUAAAGACCCAAAAACGAGUUAGCAUCGUUUACGGCGUGGACUAC
Molecule: unclassified non-coding RNA, 375 nt
Filed under: uncultured bacterium
Lineage: Bacteria
Description: contains 16S-23S intergenic spacer region
Source: RNAcentral